GACGAACGCUGGCGGCGUGCUUAACACAUGCAAGUCGAACGGAAAGGCCCUGCUUUUGUGGGGUGCUCGAGUGGCGAACGGGUGAGUAACACGUGAGUAACCUGCCCUUGACUUUGGGAUAACUUCAGGAAACUGGGGCUAAUACCGGAUAGGAGCUCCUGCUGCAUGGUGGGGGUUGGAAAGUUUCGGCGGUUGGGGAUGGACUCGCGGCUUAUCAGCUUGGUGGUGGGGUAGUGGCUUACCAAGGCUUUGACGGGUAGCCGGCCUGAGAGGGUGACCGGCCACAUUGGGACUGGGAUGCGGCCCAGACUCCUACGGGAGGCAGGAGUGGGGAAUAUUGCACAAUGGGCGGAAGCCUGAUGCAGCAACGCGGCGUGCGGGAUGACGGCCUUCGGGUUGUAAACCGCUUUCGCCUGUGACGAAGCGUGAGUGACGGUAAUGGGGAAAGAAGCACCGGCUAACUACGU
This 467-nucleotide ribosomal RNA is filed under the name uncultured bacterium. RNAcentral describes it as "partial 16S ribosomal RNA". It matches the Rfam family "Bacterial small subunit ribosomal RNA", at positions 28 to 506 of the family's 1533-position model. The record is from RNAcentral.